This 615-nucleotide long non-coding RNA is filed under the name Homo sapiens (human). RNAcentral's name for it is "long independently transcribed non-coding RNA 882 (LINC00882)". The record is from RNAcentral. Lineage: Eukaryota; Metazoa; Chordata; Mammalia; Primates; Hominidae.
AGGCUCGGCGUUGGCCUCCGCGGCCCGUGCGAGUGCGCCCUUCUCGGGUCCCCUAGGUCGCGGGGCAGCCGGGGCGGAAGGGGCUUGUUCAUUAUUUUGAGAGUUUGUUGUGAACGUCAUAACCUUUCGUCCUUAAAUAUUGCCGAUACUUGACCUACGCAAGAGACAAUGUCAUGUGAUUCAGCCUAAUAUCUCAGAGGAUGCAGCAUUCAAGGUUCUAUCUUGGAAGCAGAGACUGUGCCCUCACCAGAUGCUGAACCUGCUGAGCACCCUGAUCUUCCACUUCACCUUCAUCAGAACUACUGGGGCUGUGGCUGAGAUGUCACAUGGCAGAUAGGAUCACAAAUUUCUGUUGUAUCUGGAUGGAGAUCAGCAGGAGGAUCUAUGGACUGCUGUGAUUGCACCUGCCAUCUUAUGCAGAAAUGACCUGAAGACAGACUGAAACAACGUGUUCUACAGCCUGAAAAUAUCUACCUUGACUUACAGUUUUAUUAAUGCUGGUGUGAUCAGACUGGACAAAAAUUAGCAUAUGUUAUUAACUGAUCUAAUUCAAGUGCCAAUUCUUAAUAGAAACACAAAACAAUAAAAGCAAUUCAGAAAAUAAAAAAAAAAAAA